RNAcentral lists this ribosomal RNA (253 nucleotides) under uncultured bacterium. RNAcentral describes it as "partial 16S ribosomal RNA". It matches the Rfam family "Bacterial small subunit ribosomal RNA", at positions 524 to 776 of the family's 1533-position model. The record is from RNAcentral.
GACGUAGGGGGCCAGCGUUGUUCGGAAUUACUGGGUGUAAAGGGUUCGUAGGCGGUGUGGCAAGUCGGGAGUGAAAUCUCUGGGCUCAACCCAGAGUCUGCUUCCGAAACUGCUGUGCUUGAGUGUGGGAGAGGCGCGUGGAAUUGCAGGUGUAGCGGUGAAAUGCGUAGAUAUCUGCAGGAACACCCGUGGCGAAAGCGGCGCGCUGGACCACUACUGACGCUGAGGCGCGAAAGCGUGGGGAGCGAACAGG